This 253-nucleotide ribosomal RNA is filed under the name uncultured bacterium. RNAcentral describes it as "partial 16S ribosomal RNA". It matches the Rfam family "Bacterial small subunit ribosomal RNA", at positions 524 to 776 of the family's 1533-position model. The record is from RNAcentral.
UACGUAGGGGGCAAGCGUUGUCCGGAAUUAUUGGGCGUAAAGAGCGCGUAGGCGGUCCGGUAAGUCGGCUGUGAAAGUCAAGGGCUCAACCCUUGAAAGCCGGCCGAUACUGUCGGACUAGAGUCCGGAAGAGGGUUGUGGAAUUCCCAGUGUAGAGGUGAAAUUCGUAGAUAUUGGGAAGAACACCGGUGGCGAAGGCGGCAACCUGGUCCUUUACUGACGCUGAGGCGCGAAAGCGUGGGGAGCAAACAGG